RNAcentral lists this ribosomal RNA (626 nucleotides) under Desmoscolecidae sp. 224_8-1000_X. Its description in RNAcentral is "eukaryotic LSU rRNA". It matches the Rfam family "Eukaryotic large subunit ribosomal RNA", at positions 392 to 901 of the family's 3401-position model. Lineage: Eukaryota; Metazoa; Nematoda; Chromadorea; Desmoscolecida; Desmoscolecidae. The record is from RNAcentral.
AGAGGGCGUGAAACCGUUUAGAAGGAAACGAGAGGCGCCGCAGUUUGCCUUCGAGACUCAGCCGACCCGUCGCCGUCUGGUGGCUGGCCGGUGCAUUUCUCGUUGGCUUACACUGAGGGCCGUGCUUGUCGCGCUUUUCCAGUCGUUUAGGGAUGCACUUCGGUGAUGAUCUGGCGGCUGCGAAUUUUGCUUCGGGUACGGUUUGCAGGGCAUUCUGUAAAGCUCGAUGCGGUGUGAUCACUGUUUGCUGCUUGUCUUUUGGCCGUUGGCCGGCUGCCUUGCAGUGCGUUGUGUGAUCUUCGCGUUGAGAGAUGCCUGCUCGGUGUGAAUGUCGGCUACCCUCCCGACCCGUCUUGAAACACGGACCAAGGAGUCUAACAUGUGCGCGAGUCAGUGGGUGUAUCAAACCUACGGGCGAAAUGAAGGUAAAGGCCAACUCGGUUGGCUGACACAUGAUCCAUUCGGCUUGCCGUUUGGCGCAGUGUGGUCCCAUCUUGGAUGCUUGUCAUCGAGGUGGAGAUUGAGCGUACAUGUUGGGACCCGAAAGAUGGUGAACUAUGCCUGAACAGGAUGAAGCCAGAGGAAACUCUGGUGGAGGUCCGAAGCGGUUCUGACGUGCAAAUCGA